This 253-nucleotide ribosomal RNA is filed under the name uncultured bacterium. RNAcentral's name for it is "partial 16S ribosomal RNA". It matches the Rfam family "Archaeal small subunit ribosomal RNA", at positions 474 to 727 of the family's 1478-position model. The record is from RNAcentral.
UACCAGCACCCCGAGUGGUCGGGACGAUUAUUGGGCCUAAAGCAUCCGUAGCCGGUUCUGCAAGUCUUCCGUUAAAUCCAGCCGCUCAACGGAUGGGCCGCGGAGGAUACUAUAGGACUAGGAGGCGGGAGAGGCAAGCGGUACUCAGUGGGUAGGGGUAAAAUCCUUUGAUCCAUUGAAGACCACCAGUGGCGAAGGCGGCUUGCCAGAACGCGCUCGACGGUGAGGGAUGAAAGCCGGGGGAGCAAACCGG